Molecule: ribosomal RNA, 407 nt
Filed under: uncultured bacterium
Lineage: Bacteria
Description: partial 16S ribosomal RNA
Rfam family: Bacterial small subunit ribosomal RNA
Source: RNAcentral
GAUGAACGCUGGCGAUAGGCUUAACACAUGCAAGUCGAGGGACCGGCGCACGGGUGCGUAACGGGUAUGCAACUUUACUCACAGAGGGGGAUAACCCGUCGAAAGACGGACUAAUACCGCGUACUGUGAGAUAGGCAUGCGUCCCAUUAGCUAGUUGGUGAGGUAACGGCUCACCAAGGCAACGAUGGGUAGGGGAACUGCGAGGGUGAACCCCCAAACUGGGACUGAGACACGGACCAGACUCCUAGGGGAGGCAGCAGUGAGGAAUAUUGGUUAAUGGGCGAGAGCAUGAACCAGCCACGGCGAGUGAAGGUUGCCUCUUUUUGGAAGCUAAACUUGUUUUGAAGGACAAUAUGUACCACACGAAUAAGCAGCGGCUAACCCCGUGCCAGCCGCCGCGGUAAUAC